Long non-coding RNA from Columba livia (rock pigeon), 289 nucleotides. RefSeq lists it as uncharacterized. The record is from RefSeq and is a predicted model, not a curated record. Lineage: Eukaryota; Metazoa; Chordata; Aves; Columbiformes; Columbidae. The transcript is spliced from 2 exons.
CUUCUAUAACUUCUCCCUCUAUAACUCUCAAAACUCCCUCUAUAACUUCUCAAAAGCUAAAAUACUUUUAAAAGCCCUCCCAUCACAGGCUGUGUUUUUCAGUGAAUGAUCACAAGUGACUCUGUUGUGUGUAGCAUCUUGUCAACGAAAACAAAGUGAAAAGAUGGAGACUCUGACUGGGGCAGUAGCAGAGCUGCAGUGGCACCUGCAUUCUCCUCAUGUAACCUGAAGGAGUUCAGAGAGGUCACAAUGAUGAAUGGAUGCUAACAGAAAACAAAUGAAUAAAGUA